This 265-nucleotide long non-coding RNA is filed under the name Vitis vinifera (wine grape). RNAcentral's name for it is "long non-coding RNA (VVIN_LNC003555)". Lineage: Eukaryota; Viridiplantae; Streptophyta; Magnoliopsida; Vitales; Vitaceae. The record is from RNAcentral.
GCAAAGAUAACAUCAUGAAUUUCCUCUUCAUACAUAACCAAGGGGGAAGGUUGUAAGUUAUUGUGAGAACAGGCCAACAACUAUGCCUACUGGUCAUGGAGCUAUGAGGAUUGAUACCAUCUGCUGAAAUAGCAAGUCUAAGGUUCCUACAAUCUGAAGCAAAUUCAGGCCACAUUUGGUUCACUAGUUGCCAUGUUGGGGAAUCCACUAGGUGUCGAAGCUUACCAUCAUUUUCUCUACCUUUUGCAUGCCAUUUUAGGUCUUU